UUUCAGCUGUGAUGCUGAAGACCUGUGAACACAUCUCCCAACAUUAAGGUUGAAAGAACUGAAAAUAGCUGAGCUACUGGGAUUCAAUUGUUUUUUCUUAAUCAUUAACCUCCAUAUGUUGUUCACACCUCGCCAGGAUUCUUCCUCUAGAGCUAAGGGCUCCUCUCCCUUGUGCUCCGAGGGUACCAGCAAGAUCUUCAGUCCGAGAACCCAUCACUGGCAUCUCAGUCUGCAGCUGUCAGUGAGCAGAGAUGAGAGAUGCUGACCAGUUUUGCUUCUGUUUCUGUGCUAAAACCCCUGAGAAAAGCAGCCUUGAGGGAGAGAGGGUUUAUUCUGUGUGCAGUUCCAGGUGAUAGUCCAUCAUUGUGGGGUAGUCAGGUAGGGUCUCGGAGCAGCUAGUCACACCCACAGUCAAGAACACAAUGGGAACAAAGGUAUACAUGCCCACUGCUCAGUAGCUUUCUUUACUCAUUCACGUAUGACUCAGGAACCAAACCCAGAGAGUGGGCUGAUGCCCACCUUCAGGCUCUGUCGUGUCACACGGUUCAUAAUCACGACAAUCCCUCAGACACACCCACAGGUCAACCUGAUACAUACAAUCCACCACUGAAACUCUUUCCUGGUUACUGUAGGCUGUGUCAUGCUGACAACUAACACCAACCACCACAGAUGGCAAGUGUUUCCCAACCCAAGGCACCAUGAUGGGUGAUGCCCUGGAGGUGGUGACCAGAAAAGACUUUCAGUAUGGGACUUGAGCUGAGAAAGAUGGCAGCUGCAUCCUGUAUGUGGAGAGGUCCCCUAGCGCUCGGAUGCCUGUGCUCUCUGUUCUUCUAGCUGGAAGAGAUUUGACCUUGAUGCAAAGGCUGCCAGUGUGAAAAUUACCUGUCCAUAAGCACAUGAUGACUGUAAUGUUUCCUGGAAGCACCCAAGACUGUCAACAAAGCACUUGGUGGGCACCUUGGGCCAGACACCUUUCAAGAUGCUGCCUGUACGCUGGUAAAAGCAACAAGCCGAACAUCUGUCUUGCUGUGGAUUAUUUUGUGGCGGGGAGCAGGAAAAGAUCCCUAUAAACGUUUGACUACAUCAACGGGUGCUAUGAAGAAAAUAAAGCUGAGCACUGGGCUAGAAGGCACGGGAACGGUGUGACGGACCAGAUAACAGACCCCAAAGGUGAUCUGUCUUUAAUCCCCUCAGUCUGGGAAUGUUACCUUUGAUGAUGAAUACUAUGAAUUGUGAUGUGAGGGGGCUGGAGAGGACCUGAGUUCAGUUCCCAGCAUCUACAUUGGACAACUCAUAUCUGCCCUCUUCUGGUCUCAUCAGGCACCUGCAUGCACAUGUGUACACGUGUGUGUACACACAUACACACAUAAACAUAAACAAAACAUAAAUAUUAAAAUAGUUUUGACGUGAAGAGAUCAGAUUGGUGAAAAUAGUUAUAAACUAAAAUUGAUAACCUAGAAAAUUUCUAGUUAAAGAUAAAAAAAGGGAGAAAACAGCUUCGAUUUUUAGUGUGAAACUAGAAAGAAUGAGAGAAUCAACAUGGGGAGCUUCUGAGAGUGCAGACGUGAAAGCCCACCCUUUUACAGAGCCUGGCGAUAUACCUGCUCCGGUGCCGUCGCUGCUGCAAUGGUUCAUCUUCGUUGUCACUGCGCCUGGACUUGGAAUUGCCUAGAAGACACACCUCCUGGCAUCCAGAGAUGCUGGCUGAGGAAAACACACCCUCAGUGUGAGCAGCAGCACGGGCGAGGGUCUUAGGCUGAAUAAGAGGAGAAAGGAAGCUGAACACCAGUUGUAAUUUCUCUGCUUCCUGACUAGAGGCAAUGUGAUCACUGCCUCAUGUUCCUGUGGCCACAGCUAGCUCUGCUUCCCGCCACAACGGACCGGUUCCUCAAACCACAUGGCAAGAUAAACUCUGAAGGAGCUGUCGGUGUUCACCACAGUCUAGAGAAGGAUCUCUGCUACCCCAAGGACAUACCAGAAGCUGAGUCGGCAAUGCACAGUGUUAGAGGUGGGGAGUGAACAGACUGAGAGAACAGAUUGCUGCUGUUACUGACUGAAUGGGUCAGUUGUCAUGGGAACGGGCUCCUGAGAAGAGAACCUAAGGGCCCCACUCGCCUACUCCCUCUCUCUCUCCUGUGCCCUUGCUUCUGUUGUGUUUGCUUUCCGCCAUUCCUUAUGAAGGUUCUCAUCAGUCCUGAGCCCUUUGGCUUUGACUUCUCCACUUCUAGUAUUGUAAGAAGUAAAUCUCUGUUCUUUAUAAGUUCCCAGAUUUGGAGCUGGGCAUGAUGGUGCCAGCCUACAAUCCCAGGAGUGGGGGAGCUGAGGGUGGAGAAUUACAAAUGCCACGCCAGCCUAGACUAUAUAGCAAGGCCCUGUCUUCUCGGAAACAAACCAAAACCAACCAAACAAAAAAACAUCGCUUACUCUGGAGAAAGCUGUUGUAACAGCACACCACAUGGGAAUGCACGAACUGUUAUAUAUCUGGGUGAGUCGUCCUCAGGCAAGGGGACUUGAUCCCGCCAUCUGUCUGUGGUAGUUCACUUAAACUUCACCUCUGAUUAGAGGAAGCCGCUUUCUUUUCUGUUGCGUACAUCCAAAGGGAACCAUGUGUGUCUCUUGUUUUGAGACAAGGUCUGGAAUUCCCUAUGUAGUCAAGGAUGGCCUGUAGUUUCUCAGUGCUGAGAUCACAGGCUCACCACCUAUCUUUAUGACUGGCAGUAGGCCUGCCAUUUGGACACUUUGGAAGUUCCUCACCACCUGGAGCCUAGAUGUUUGGUUUAACGUCCUUCGAUGGGUACAGUUCCACGAGGUGACUCCUGUCCUAACAUAAGACGGUCAUUGUAGGCAAACUUGGAAAAAGGCACCGUAGCUUUAAGAAAGAAUUAAACAGGCCUCAAGUAGACAGAAGUUCUCCAUUGCAAGUUCCCUGGGGUGAAUGCCUUAGCCAAAGGGUAGUCGGGGAUGGGAAGGUUUUUCCUUUUUGCCCCAGAAAAUAUUGUUUCUGAUUUUUAGUUUGUACUUGCUGGCACAGUGAUCCUGGAUUAUCUGGGCACAGUUACCUGUGCCUUUAUAAGUUGAUUCAGGGAAAUCCACAUAGCAACGUUGAUGUUCUUCUUUUCUGGCGUGGGGUGUAUCGC
Molecule: long non-coding RNA, 3137 nt
Organism: Arvicola amphibius (Eurasian water vole)
Lineage: Eukaryota; Metazoa; Chordata; Mammalia; Rodentia; Cricetidae
Exons: 4
Source: RefSeq, a predicted model, not a curated record